GAGGAUAUAUACAGUAGAGAGGCUAUAACAGUAGAGAGGCUAUAUACAGUAGAGAGGCUAUAUACAGUAGAGAGGAUAUAUACAGUAGAGAGGCUAUAUACAGUAGAGAGGUUAUAUACAGUAGAGAGGUUAUAUACAGUAGAGAGGUUAUAUACAGUAGAGAGGUUAUAUACAGUAGAGAGGCUAUAUACAGUAGAGAGGCUAUAUACAUAGAGAGGCUAUAUACAGUAGAGAGGUUAUAUACAGUAGAGAGGUUAUAUACAGUAGAGGUUAUAUACAGUAGAGAGGCUAUAUACAGUAGAGAGGCUAUAUACAGUAGAGAGGUUAUAUACAGUAGAGAGGCUAUACACAGUAGAGAGGCUAUAUACAGUAGAGAGGCUAUAUACAGUAGAGAGGUUAUAUACAGUAGAGAGGCUAUAUACAGUAGAGAGGCUAUAUACAGUAGAGAGGCUACAUACAGUAGAGAGGUUAUAUACAGUAGAGAGGCUAUAUACAGUAGAGAGGCUAUAUACAGUAGAGAGGCUAUAUACAGUAGAGAGGUUAUAUACAGUAGAGAGGCUAUAUACAGUAGAGAGGCUAUAUACAGUAGAGAGGCUAUAUACAGUAGAG
RNAcentral lists this long non-coding RNA (609 nucleotides) under Salmo salar (Atlantic salmon). RNAcentral's name for it is "lncRNA (ENSSSAG00000085801.1)". The record is from RNAcentral. Lineage: Eukaryota; Metazoa; Chordata; Actinopteri; Salmoniformes; Salmonidae.